GUUUGAUUAGUUUAGUUAAAAUUAUAAAUUGUGGAUUUAUAGAGGAAUUAAUUUCAUCAAACA
RNAcentral lists this transfer RNA (63 nucleotides) under Dermacentor steini. RNAcentral describes it as "tRNA-His". Lineage: Eukaryota; Metazoa; Arthropoda; Arachnida; Ixodida; Ixodidae. The record is from RNAcentral.